RNAcentral lists this transfer RNA (72 nucleotides) under Rickettsiales bacterium. RNAcentral's name for it is "tRNA-Lys". It matches the Rfam family "tRNA". Rfam says of the family: Transfer RNA (tRNA) molecules are approximately 80 nucleotides in length. Their secondary structure includes four short double-helical elements and three loops (D, anti-codon, and T loops). Further hydrogen bonds mediate the characteristic L-shaped molecular structure. tRNAs have two regions of fundamental functional importance: the anti-codon, which is responsible for specific mRNA codon recognition, and the 3' end, to which the tRNAs corresponding amino acid is attached (by aminoacyl-tRNA synthetases). tRNAs cope with the degeneracy of the genetic code in two manners: having more than one tRNA (with a specific anti-codon) for a particular amino acid; and 'wobble' base-pairing, i.e. permitting non-standard base-pairing at the 3rd anti-codon position. Lineage: Bacteria; Pseudomonadati; Pseudomonadota; Alphaproteobacteria; Rickettsiales. The record is from RNAcentral.
GAGACCUUAGUUUAAUGGUAAAACAUGUGACUUUUAAUCAUUAUAAUACGAGUUCGAGUCUCGUAGGUCUUA